CUUGCCACAUGGCGGUACGUGAUGAAGCACGUUUAGUUUAACGUCUAAGGAGGACCGAGCUAGUCAGGCGCACACUAGUCUGCGCUUCCGGCCUUGGCUAAUCUAAUUCCUGUGUAUUUGGGGGCAAGGGAGAAACCCUGCAGCAAAUCAUUAGCCAACUUCGCCGCUUUGUUUGUUUUUUGCUUGUUUUAAGGUAGGCUCUAAGGUCAGAAGAAGAAUGAGGAAGUUGGGUGUCUGUAAAGGGGGUGGUGUGGUACACCCCUGGAAGAGUGGUGAAGGUACUUCCAGGGCCACCAGCUGGCCGAGGUCAGACAGCAAGCACCCAGCCGUCCCUGCCAUGGGAGACCCGGGCUGGCUGUUCUGUGAUAUGCACACUUGGAGUCCCAUGGACCCACCAACCCCACUGCGCCUCUGGUCGUAGGCCUGUCUUCAGCCCAGGACUACCUGAUAGGGCUGCCCAGUGGAAAGCCGCCUCCGAGAAGACCAACUGUCCAGCCCUGAGGAGAGAGAAUUCGUAAAGAGAGCCCAUCUCAAAUGGCUCAGACGGGACCCUGAAAUAACACUCCACCUCUGAAAUCGUACAAACUGUAUGAGUGACAAAUGUCAAAAAAUGUUAUUAAAAAGCAUGUAAGGGGA
This is a non-coding RNA of Microcebus murinus (gray mouse lemur), 636 nucleotides long. Lineage: Eukaryota; Metazoa; Chordata; Mammalia; Primates; Cheirogaleidae. The record is from RefSeq and is a predicted model, not a curated record.